Molecule: ribosomal RNA, 598 nt
Filed under: marine sediment bacterium BB0608_2216_3.2_10G0
Lineage: Bacteria
Description: bacterial SSU rRNA
Rfam family: Bacterial small subunit ribosomal RNA
Source: RNAcentral
UUAUCUGAACCUUCGGGGAACGAUAACGGCGUCGAGCGGCGGACGGGUGAGUAAUGCCUAGGAAAUUGCCCUGAUGUGGGGGAUAACCAUUGGAAACGAUGGCUAAUACCGCAUGAUGCCUACGGGCCAAAGAGGGGGACCUUCGGGCCUCUCGCGUCAGGAUAUGCCUAGGUGGGAUUAGCUAGUUGGUGAGGUAAGGGCUCACCAAGGCGACGAUCCCUAGCUGGUCUGAGAGGAUGAUCAGCCACACUGGAACUGAGACACGGUCCAGACUCCUACGGGAGGCAGCAGUGGGGAAUAUUGCACAAUGGGCGCAAGCCUGAUGCAGCCAUGCCGCGUGUAUGAAGAAGGCCUUCGGGUUGUAAAGUACUUUCAGUCGUGAGGAAGGCGGCGUCGUUAAUAGCGGCGUUGUUUGACGUUAGCGACAGAAGAAGCACCGGCUAACUCCGUGCCAGCAGCCGCGGUAAUACGGAGGGUGCGAGCGUUAAUCGGAAUUACUGGGCGUAAAGCGCAUGCAGGUGGUUUGUUAAGUCAGAUGUGAAAGCCCGGGGCUCAACCUCGGAAUAGCAUUUGAAACUGGCAGACUAGAGUACUGUAG